AACAAACGCUGGCGGCGUGCCUAAUACAUGCAAGUCGAACGGGAAAAGCUUUCGGGUGAGUACUAGUGGCGCACGGGUGAGUAACGCGUGGAUAAUCUGCCCUCGAAUGGGGAAUAACUAGUCGAAAGAUUAGCUAAUACCGCAUAAGACCACGACUACUGAGGUAGUUGGGGUCAAAGGAGCAAUUCGUUUGAGGAUGAGUCCGCGUAAGAUUAGCUAGUUGGUGAGGUAAUGGCUCACCAAGGCGAUGAUCUUUAACUGGUCUGAGAGGAUGAUCAGUCACACUGGAACUGAGACACGGUCCAGACUCCUACGGGAGGCAGCAGUAGGGAAUAUUGGACAAUGGGGGCAACCCUGAUCCAGCGACGCCGCGUGAGCGAUGAAGGCCUUCGGGUCGUAAAGCUCUGUUGUAAGGGAAAAAGUUCUGAUUGUACCUUACGAGAAAGGAUCGGCUAACUUCGUGCCAGCAGCCGCAGUAA
RNAcentral lists this ribosomal RNA (479 nucleotides) under uncultured bacterium. RNAcentral describes it as "partial 16S ribosomal RNA". It matches the Rfam family "Bacterial small subunit ribosomal RNA", at positions 29 to 523 of the family's 1533-position model. The record is from RNAcentral.